This 74-nucleotide transfer RNA is filed under the name Spirochaetes bacterium GWF1_41_5. RNAcentral describes it as "tRNA-Met". It matches the Rfam family "tRNA". Rfam says of the family: Transfer RNA (tRNA) molecules are approximately 80 nucleotides in length. Their secondary structure includes four short double-helical elements and three loops (D, anti-codon, and T loops). Further hydrogen bonds mediate the characteristic L-shaped molecular structure. tRNAs have two regions of fundamental functional importance: the anti-codon, which is responsible for specific mRNA codon recognition, and the 3' end, to which the tRNAs corresponding amino acid is attached (by aminoacyl-tRNA synthetases). tRNAs cope with the degeneracy of the genetic code in two manners: having more than one tRNA (with a specific anti-codon) for a particular amino acid; and 'wobble' base-pairing, i.e. permitting non-standard base-pairing at the 3rd anti-codon position. RNAcentral also lists the same sequence under 1 other name. Lineage: Bacteria; Pseudomonadati; Spirochaetota. The record is from RNAcentral.
CGCGGGGUGGAGAAGUCUGGUAUCUCACCGGGCUCAUAACCCGGAGACCACAGGUUCAAAUCCUGUCCCCGCUA